CCUACGGGAGGCAGCAGUGAGGAAUAUUGGUCAAUGGGCGGGAGCCUGAACCAGCCAAGUCGCGUGAGGGAAGACGGUCCUAUGGAUUGUAAGCCUCUUUAGCCGGGGAGCAAUGCCGGGUACGCGUGCCCGGAGGGAGAGUACCCGCAGAACAAGCAUCGGCUAACUCCGUGCCAGCAGCCGCGGUAAUACGAAGGCUGAGAGAUUUAUCCGGAUUUAUUGGGUUUAAAGGGUGCGUAGGCGGAUUUUUAAGUCUUCGGUAAAAUGUCCGGGCUAAACCCGGGACGGCCGUGGAUACUGGGGAUCUAGAGUGGGAGAGAAGUAUGCGGAAUGCGUGGUGUAGCGGUGAAAUGCAUAGAUAUCACGCAGAACUCCGAUUGCGAAGGCAGCAUACCGGCGCCCGACUGACGCUGAGGCACGAAAGCGUGGGGAUCGAACAGGAUUAGAUACCCUGGUAGUC
RNAcentral lists this ribosomal RNA (460 nucleotides) under uncultured bacterium. RNAcentral describes it as "partial 16S ribosomal RNA". It matches the Rfam family "Bacterial small subunit ribosomal RNA", at positions 338 to 795 of the family's 1533-position model. The record is from RNAcentral.